CUACCACAUUGGCACAUGAUAAGGAACAUACCAUUAAAGUUUCAAUGGUUGGAUAUACCAUAUUAAGAGUUUAAAUACUACUUUAAGAUUUUCCCCAUAGGGUUUAAUGCUAAACAUAUUUAGUUUCCAUGGCAAUAUAGUAGUUCCAAAGAUUCCCAAAAUCAUCUCAAACCUGUAUAUGGUGGACACCAACAAUAUAUAAAAAUUUGAUGAUUUUCAGUUCAGGAAUAUUCAAAUUAUUCACCAAAAACCAAAAAAAUAUUUUUUACAUUUGUUCUGUUUCCAUGGUAACGGCGGCCAUCUUGCACAUGCCAAAGUCUGCUGCACAACUUCACAUGGUGUUCCACAUUGUGGUAUAAUUCCAUCAACAUUGGUCCAUUCAAUUCCGAGAAAUAGCGUGGACAAAAUGUGUGGAAGAAUAAAAAUAAUAAGAAAAAAAGAAACGUAGAAUAACAAUAUGUCACCCCAACUCCGUUGAGGGUGCCAUAAAAAGAAAAAAAGUAGAAUAACAAUAUGUCACCCAAACUCCGUUUAGGGUGCCAUAAUAAGAAAAAAAAGAAACGUAGAAUAACAAUAUGUCACUCCAACUCCGUUGAGGGUGCCAUAAAAAGAAUCGUACAAUAACAAUAUGUCACCCGACCUCCGUCAGAGUGACAUAAUAAUAAGACAAA
This 671-nucleotide long non-coding RNA is filed under the name Mytilus galloprovincialis (Mediterranean mussel). Lineage: Eukaryota; Metazoa; Mollusca; Bivalvia; Mytilida; Mytilidae. The record is from RNAcentral.